Molecule: ribosomal RNA, 531 nt
Filed under: uncultured bacterium
Lineage: Bacteria
Description: bacterial SSU rRNA
Rfam family: Bacterial small subunit ribosomal RNA
Source: RNAcentral
CAGUGGGGAAUAUUGGACAAAUGGGCGCAAGCCUGAUCCAGCAAUGCCGCGUGUGUGAAGAAGGCCCGAGGGUUGUAAAGCACUUUCAGAAGAGAAGAGGGCUUGGUUGUUAAUAGCAGCUAAGUCGGACGUUACCUUCAGAAGAAGCACCGGCUAACUCUGUGCCAGCAGCCGCGGUAAUACAGAGGGUGCAAGCGUUAAUCGGAAUUACUGGGCGUAAAGCGCGCGUAGGCGGAUGGAUAAGUUGGAUGUGAAAGCCCCGGGCUCAACCUGGGAUGGUCAUUCAAAACUGUUUAUCUAGAGUGUGGCAGAGGGUAGUGGAAUUCCUAGUGUAGCGGUGAAAUGCGUAGAUAUUAGGAGGAACAUCAGUGGCGAAGGCGACUGCCUGGACCAACACUGACGCUGAGGUGCGAAAGCGUGGGUAGCGAACAGGAUUAGAUACCCUGGUAGUCCACGCCGUAAACGAUGAGAACUAGACGUUGGUCUCUUUAAGGGAUUAGUGUCGCAGCUAACGCGAUAAGUCUCCGCCUG